GACGAACGCUGGCGGCGUGCUUAACACAUGCAAGUCGAACGGAAAGGCCCUGCUUUUGUGGGGUGCUCGAGUGGCGAACGGGUGAGUAACACGUGAGUAACCUGCCCUUGACUUUGGGAUAACUUCAGGAAACUGGGGCUAAUAUCGGAUAGGAGCUCCUGCUGCAUGGUGGGGGUUGGAAAGUUUCGGCGGUUGGGGAUGGACUCGCGGCUUAUCAGCUUGUUGGUGGGGUAGUGGCUUACCAAGGCUUUGACGGGUAGCCGGCCUGAGAGGGUGACCGGCCACAUUGGGACUGAGAUACGGCCCAGACUCCUACGGGAGGCAGCAGUGGGGAAUAUUGCACAAUGGGCGGAAGCCUGAUGCAGCAACGCCGCGUGCGGGAUGACGGCCUUCGGGUUGUAAACCGCUUUCGCAUGUGACGAAGCGUGAGUGACGGUAAUGGGUAAAGAAGCACCGGCUAACUACGUG
RNAcentral lists this ribosomal RNA (468 nucleotides) under uncultured bacterium. Its description in RNAcentral is "partial 16S ribosomal RNA". It matches the Rfam family "Bacterial small subunit ribosomal RNA", at positions 28 to 507 of the family's 1533-position model. The record is from RNAcentral.